UACGGAAGGCAGCAGUGGGGAAUAUUGCACAAUGGGCGCAAGCCUGAUGCAGCCAUGCCGCGUGUAUGAAGAAGGCCUUCGGGUUGUAAAGUACUUUCAGUCGUGAGGAAGGUGUUAAGGUUAAUAACCUUAGCAAUUGACGUUAGCGACAGAAGAAGCACCGGCUAACUCCGUGCCAGCAGCCGCGGUAAUACGGAGGGUGCGAGCGUUAAUCGGAAUUACUGGGCUAAAGGGCACGCAGGCGGUUAAUUAAGUUGGAUGUGAAAUCCCCGGGCUUAACCUGGGAAUGGCAUUCAAGACUGGUUAGCUAGAGUCUUGUAGAGGGGGUUAGAAUUCCAUGUGUAGCGGUGAAAUGCGUAGAGAUGUGGAGGAAUACCGGUGGCGAAGGCGGCCCCUGGGACAAAGACUGACGCUCAUGUGCGAAAGCGUGGGGAGCAAACAGGGAUUAGAUACC
Molecule: ribosomal RNA, 454 nt
Filed under: uncultured bacterium
Lineage: Bacteria
Description: bacterial SSU rRNA
Rfam family: Bacterial small subunit ribosomal RNA
Source: RNAcentral